UACGGGGAUCAGGGUUCGAUUCCGGAGAGGGAGCCUGAGAAACGGCUACCACAUCCAAGGAGGGCAGCAGGCGCGCAAAUUACCCACUCCCGGCACGGGGAGGUAGUGACGAUAAAUAACGAUACGGGACUCAUCCGAGGCCCCGUAAUUGGAAUGAGCAUACUCUAAAGCCUUGUGCGAGUAUCAAUUGGAGGGUAAGUCUGGUGCCAGCAGCCGCGGUAAUUCCAGCUCCAAUAGCGUAUAUUAAAGUUGUUGCGGUUAAAAAGCUCGUAGUCCGCAUUGUGUCUCGCCCCGUCGGUACACCGCCUGCCGGUGCUUAACUGGCGCGCGAGCGAGACGUCGUGCCGGUCGGUGUCGGUCGGCCGGCCAACGCGGCGAGCUACCCUCCGGCUCGUAGAGCCGUGGUAAGCGAGCCGCCGGCCGGUCGGCCGCCCUUCAAAUCCCGUCGCGGUGCUCUUAAACGAGUGUCGAGGCGGGCCGGCAAUAUUACUUUGAACAAAUUAGUGUGCUCACAGCAGGCUUAUAGUCGCCUGCAUAUAUGUGCAUGGAAUAAUGGAAUAGGACCUAGGUUCUAUUUCGUUCGGUUUAGGACCGUAGUAAUGAUCAACGGAAACGGGCGGGGGCAUUCGUAUUUGCUUACGUUAGAGGUGAAUUUCUUGGAUCGUAGACAGGACGGACGUAAGCGAUAGCAUUGCCCCAGUACGUCCGGCCGAUCAAAAACGAAGUUUAGAAGUUCGAAGGCGAUCAAGUAUACCGCCCGAGUUCUACCCAUAAACGAUUGCUGGCAGCGAUCCGCCGAAGUUCCUAAGAUGACACGGCGGGCAGCUCCGGGGAAACCAGGGCUUUCGGUUCCGGGGGAAGUAUGGUGCAAAGCUGAACUUAAAGGAAUUGACGGAAGGGCACCACCAGGAGUGGAGCUGCGGCUUAAUUUGACUCAACACGGGAAAACUCACCAGGCCCGGACACCGCAAGGAUUGACAGAUUGAUAGCUCUUUCUUGAUUCGGUGGGUGGUGGUGCAUGGCCGUUCUUAGUUCGUGGAGUGAUUUGUCUGGUUAAUUCCGAUAACCGAGCGAGACUCUAGCCUACUAACUAGGCGGACCGGUAUCCACAAUCGUGCUACCGGCGAGCCAAUAUCUUCUUAGAGGGACAGGCGGCUCCUAGCCGCACGAGACUGAGCAAUAACAGGUCUGUGAUGCCCUUAGAUGUCCUGGGCAGCACGCGCGCUACACUGAAGGAAUCAGCGUGUCUUCCCUGUCCGAGAGGAUCGGGUAACCCGCUGAACCUCCUUCGUGCUUGGGAUUGUGGCUUGCAAUUGUUCCACAUGAACGAGGAAUUCCCAGUAAGCGCUAGUCAUAAGCUGGCGUUGAUUACGUCCCUGCCCUUUGUACACACCG
RNAcentral lists this ribosomal RNA (1395 nucleotides) under Omolicna sp. 1 BWB-2020. Its description in RNAcentral is "SSU rRNA". It matches the Rfam family "Eukaryotic small subunit ribosomal RNA", at positions 360 to 1671 of the family's 1831-position model. The record is from RNAcentral. Lineage: Eukaryota; Metazoa; Arthropoda; Insecta; Hemiptera; Derbidae.